RNAcentral lists this ribosomal RNA (453 nucleotides) under uncultured bacterium. RNAcentral describes it as "bacterial SSU rRNA". It matches the Rfam family "Bacterial small subunit ribosomal RNA", at positions 328 to 793 of the family's 1533-position model. The record is from RNAcentral.
GCUCCAGACUCCUACGGGAGGCAGCAGUGGGGGAUAUUGCACAAUGGGGGGAACCCUGAUGCAGCGACGCCGCGUGAGGGAAGACGGUUUUCGGAUUGUAAACCUCUGUCUUUAGGGACGAAACAAAUGACGGUACCUAAAGAGGAAGCCACGGCUAACUACGUGCCAGCAGCCGCGGUCAUACGUAGGAUCCGAGCAUUAUCCGGAGUGACUGGGUGUAAAGAGUUGCGUAGGUGGCAUAGUAAGUAGCUAGUGAAAUCUGGUGGCUCAACCAUUCAGACUAUUAGCUAAACUGCUAAGCUCGAGACCGUUAGGGGUAACUGGAAUUUCUAGUGUAGGAGUGAAAUCCGUAGAUAUUAGAAGGAACACCGAUAGCGUAGGCAGGUUACUGGGACGGUUCUGACACUAAGGCACGAAAGCGUAGGGAGCAAACGGGAUUAGAUACCCCUGUAA